RNAcentral lists this ribosomal RNA (406 nucleotides) under uncultured bacterium. RNAcentral's name for it is "bacterial SSU rRNA". It matches the Rfam family "Bacterial small subunit ribosomal RNA", at positions 361 to 776 of the family's 1533-position model. The record is from RNAcentral.
AUUUUUGGCAAUGGGGGAAACCCUGACCAAGCAACGCCGCGUGGAUGAUGAAGUAUCUCGGUACGUAAAAUCCUUUCGACGGGGACGAAACCGCAAGGUUGACGGUACCCGUAGAAGAAGCCCCGGCUAACUCCGUGCCAGCAGCCGCGGUAAUACGGGGGGGGCAAGCGUUGUUCGGAAUUACUGGGCGUAAAGGGCGCGUAGGCCGCUUGUUAAGUCGGGUGUGAAAACUCUGGGCUCAACCCAGAGCCUGCACUCGAAACUGAUGAGCUAGAGUUCUGGAGGGGAAAGCGGAAUUCCUGGUGUAGCAGUGAAAUGCGUAGAUAUCAGGAGGAACACCGGUGGCGAAGGCGGCUUUCUGGACAGAAACUGACGCUGAGGCGCGAAAGCUAGGGGAGCAAACAGG